CACCCCUAUUCUCUUAACAGCAAAACAACACCAAUUUCAAUGGAGAACAGCUCCAUCAACGGGAAAAACCCGACUUCAAAAAACAGCUACAAACGACAACCCAACGGCAAAACCUGACUCGAUUCCAGUGAAUCAACCAGGGUUCAGCCAACCGUACCCGUCCGUUUCCAACUACAACCAACCAGCGACCCGACAGUCUGAACCAGCAAACCCGAACCCAGCUUCCCAAAAAUGACCUGAUAUCAACAAACCGCAAAAUCCAAAUCCAAAAAUCCUUUCAAAUUUUGAACGUUUGUACGAUUUUCGUACAACACAUAACUGUCAAGCCUUAUCACCAAAUAAAAUUCCAAAAAAUCAAAAUUUACCCCUGGAUUCCUCCUCUUCCUCAUCGGUUGAGGCCUAGAAAUUCAACCCUCGAAUUUUCCUAUAAAAGGGCUCACUAUUGAGCUAAAGAGGGAAGCCUUGAAGGUUGAUAAAACCUUUGAGCAAAGAAGUCUCAUUUUCUUAGUAUAAAAGUUUUUCUCCGUGAAAUUCAUCGAUUAACCGAAGUUUCCGAGUUGACGAUGACGCUUUUCGAUAGUCGAUGGAUUCCGACAAAUCUCAAGUCUCAUUUUUCCGUCCCAAAAAAGGUAAACAUAUUCUUCCCCUUCUAGUAUUAUUGCCACUUUCUUGUUCAUCUCGUUCUUCGUAUUAGUUGCUUCUUAGUUUAGAAAUACUAUUGCUGGGUUUGUUUACUGUAGCUGGCCUCAAAUACCAUAGGAUUGCGUAAAGAAGAUAGGGAUUUUAACAUGUUGAUGUGCUAUUAGUUUAGUUUUAUGUUUCAGUUUCGGCUUUCUAUAGAAUUCACUAUUUUGAUUCUCUGUUGGUAAUCCUUAACUUCUUGCUUCUUUAAAUUGGCAUAUAUUCUUGGAUUACCGUUUCCAGAUUAUCUUUCAUAUCAUCUGUAUUUACUCAUCAUUAUAUGUCGUCUGAAUUUCCUGUUCAAAUCUAAUGCUGCAGAUUUUAGAGUUUUGCUUCUGCAGUAAACAGUUAAAUGUAGUCCUCUAUGUUGAUAUUCGAAUGUUUUGGUUAAUGGUUUAGUUUCUUCUAUGAUUAUGAUUAAUAAUAGAUUCUCGCUUAUUUGAGCAUAAUUAUAAUUCCCUCACCUCUUGAAUUCAAAUCUCAUGACUAUGGCCCUAAAUUUUUAGUAGACAUGUUCAACCGGAUUGUCUAUUAAAGUUAUAUGAUGUUGUUCCGUUAAGAAAGAUUGUCUGAAAUGCAUAUAUGUCUUUUAAGAUUUCUUCUAAAACCUGCAUAUUGCUCUCCUUCUUUGGAAAUAUCCCCGUGUCGCAUGCUUAUCGGUUCAUGUCUUAAAAUUGUUGUUCUCGUAAAAAAUUAAUUGAACCAUCGAUCUUGCAUUUAGUAAGCAUCAUAGUCGACAGAGCACAUCUUUGAUUUUGUGAAAAUCUAGCCUGAAGGUCGAGAGUUUUGUUUCCUAGUAUAAUCAUAAAAAAUGGAUUUUUUUUGCUAGUCAUCUUGACUCGUAAAUGUUCAUUCUUUAUUUUAUUUUACGCAUGUAGAAUCGCUUAAAACUUAUGGUAGCAUCCUUAUCCAGGUGACUAAAUUUGAAAACCAUUAGUGGUUCUUUCAAACAAUAAAAUAAGAUCUGAUCUUUUGCAUUAGUUUGAUUUUGUUGGGAUUAUUGUAGUCUACAUCCUUAGUAAGGAGAGCCUUCAUUGGUUGAUCUUGGGAAUUAUCUGGUGAUGUGUGGGACUCAUGGAACUUAUGUUGUGUGUCGUUCAUAUAUCAUUUCUUAGAGCCUCUCUCAUGGAGUCAUUUUUCCCCUCCUAUUCUUGUCGGUUUUACUAUUUUUCUGUAUCUUGGUUUGAUUUUGUUAAAAUAAUGUCUACGAUGGGGGAGGUUAUUAUUUAUCUUGUCUACUAAGUAUGCGAUGUCUUUUGAGCACUUGAGUUCAAAAAUUUCGACUUCUACUUGAUUUCCUCGUUAAGAAUAUAUUAUUUGAAUUGUAUACAAUUUGGGGCCGAAACAAGUGGCUUUUUCCUUGAUAGAUUGUCUUGCUUUAUUUUAUUAAGAGGAUUUAGGUUGCAUGUGUAUGCCUAUAUCUUUAUUUCAGUUAAAAUUUGUUGAAUUUUCUCUCGAAAAUCCCAUGGCUUGGCCUAUUGAUAUUUUAUUUAAUGACAAUGUUAUCUCUUUCACAUUUUUGUUUUAACAUUCCUAGUGUUUCUGUCACAUUUUUAUGCCAAUGGUUUCAAUUAGGUUCUAAUCUUUGUCUACACUUGAACAUAUAUUAAUUAUUGUAUUUUUCUACCUGGACUCUUUUUCCUUCCGCAUUUUUGUCAUGGGUCAUUUAUUUCCCAUCUCUUCGAGGUGAUUCAUCAAAAGCCCAAAAGAAGUUCCAAAAUCGAUCUCAUGGCAUAUGGAUAUAAGGAGUCGAAAGAAGAAGGACAGGUUGAAAUCCAUUUUUAAAGUGGUGAAAAGACUCAAAAGUCUCAUUAAUUAUUUUAUUUAUUUACUUAUUGUUGUCUUUAUUUAUUUAUUUAUUUAUUCGUAUGCCUUGAAGCCAAAGUUGUAAAGAUAAUACAGGUAGAGCGGACUUUGGGCCAAAAAGGCUCGAAAACUAGAUUAGGAUAGGUGAAAUGGGUCGAAAGUCAAAUUAGACUAGGACAUGUUUCGUUGAUUUGGGCCCAAGGCCUAAAUCUUUUACUUUCUCCUCCCUUUCCCCUUUUAUGUGUUUAUUUGCUUAUUAGUUUUGUUUAACCAUAGUUAAAAUCCUUACUAAGUCGCUUAAAUUUGUUUUAUGCAAGUGUUUUCUAAAUCGAUCACUUUUCAACAAAUCAAUCUUUUUUUAAGUUAGUCAAAAGAUGUUUUCAAAUAGAUCGGAUAACCACAAGUUAGCGAACGUUUUAGGUUCUUUAAAAACCUUCCUAAAACGUUAAUAGGAACUGCUUACUCAGAAUCAUCGAAACUUAAACGAUUUUUCUAUUUUGGAUUGUUUAGAGUGUCUAAUAAAGGUUUUUAAAUUCUUUUUCAAAAUUAAGUGGCGACUCUCUAAAAGUCGAAAUUUUUGCAAAACAAAUGAUAAGUUGGAG
RNAcentral lists this long non-coding RNA (3089 nucleotides) under Capsicum annuum. RNAcentral describes it as "long non-coding RNA (CANN_LNC010492)". The record is from RNAcentral. Lineage: Eukaryota; Viridiplantae; Streptophyta; Magnoliopsida; Solanales; Solanaceae.